Molecule: unclassified non-coding RNA, 28 nt
Filed under: Mus musculus (house mouse)
Lineage: Eukaryota; Metazoa; Chordata; Mammalia; Rodentia; Muridae
Description: oocyte_clustered_small_RNA645
Source: RNAcentral
UGAGAUGCAGAAACAGUUCAAUUCAUGA